This 373-nucleotide ribosomal RNA is filed under the name uncultured bacterium. RNAcentral describes it as "bacterial SSU rRNA". It matches the Rfam family "Bacterial small subunit ribosomal RNA", at positions 29 to 402 of the family's 1533-position model. The record is from RNAcentral.
AUUGAACGCUGGCGGCAUGCCUUACACAUGCAAGUCGAACGGCAGCACGGGGGGCAACCCUGGUGGCGAGUGGCGAACGGGUGAGUAACACAUCGGAACGUGCCCAGUAGUGGGGGAUAGCUCGGCGAAAGCCGGAUUAAUACCGCAUACGACCUACGGGUGAAAGCGGGGGAUCGCAAGACCUCGCGCUAUUGGAGCGGCCGAUGUCAGAUUAGGUUGUUGGUGGGGUAAAGGCCUACCAAGCCGACGAUCUGUAGCUGGUCUGAGAGGACGACCAGCCACACUGGGACUGAGACACGGCCCAGACUCCUACGGGAGGCAGCAGUGGGGAAUUUUGGACAAUGGGCGCAAGCCUGAUCCAGCCAUGCCGCGU